This 209-nucleotide ribosomal RNA is filed under the name Sulfuricella sp. RNAcentral describes it as "partial 16S ribosomal RNA". It matches the Rfam family "Bacterial small subunit ribosomal RNA", at positions 1 to 215 of the family's 1533-position model. Lineage: Bacteria; Pseudomonadati; Pseudomonadota; Betaproteobacteria; Nitrosomonadales; Sulfuricellaceae. The record is from RNAcentral.
AAACUGAAGAGUUUGAUCCUGGCUCAGAUUGAACGCUGGCGGAAUGCUUUACACAUGCAAGUCGAACGGCAGCACGGGAGCUUGCUCCUGGUGGCGAGUGGCGAACGGGUGAGUAAUACCUAGGAACAUGUCCAGUAGUGGGGGAUAACGCAGCGAAAGCUGUGCUAAUACCGCAUACGCCCUACGGGGGAAAGCGGGGGAUUCGCAAG